Long non-coding RNA from Cuculus canorus (common cuckoo), 5268 nucleotides. RefSeq lists it as uncharacterized. Lineage: Eukaryota; Metazoa; Chordata; Aves; Cuculiformes; Cuculidae. The record is from RefSeq and is a predicted model, not a curated record. The transcript has 3 exons.
ACCUGCUGACUGACAAACAAAAACCAUCCUGGUCCUCACUCCACAAAGCUCAUUUUCUAGCUGCAGGCUCAGUUCACUGAUGCUCCUCUACACCCUCCAGUAUUUUGUAACAGGUUCAAAAUUGCUUUCCUGAUUGCACAUCACUCCACCAUCCAUCUCUCUUUGAAAGAACUAGACUUUUCUUGUCACUCCACUGCUUGAAGAGCACCUCUUGAUGUCAUUGGCACCAGGCACACCUGACAUUUGCUUGAGAUGAGAGCUUGCAACUGUGCCAAAGCUUUCCAGGUAAUAUUUGUCAGAUCAUAUGUAGCUGAAGCAAACAGAAAUGUAAAGAACAGGCAGACUAUCCUUAACCCUCACUAGCCAAGUUCUGCACAUGUUCCCCAGUAAAAUUCCCAAAUGAGGUCAAGGCAUUUAACUCAUUAUCAUCAUAGAUUUCCCUCUAGACAGAAUGAUGUCCGAUCAGAUGAGAAACACUCUGUCUAAAUCAUACAGAUCACCAAAAUCCACCACUGCAACACAGCUGCUUUGGACUGGAACACAGCAGCUAUCCCAAGCCAGGAGUGUUACACAACCAUUGUCUAGAAAGGAGGAAAUCAACAAAACUUCUCUGGUUUAAAUCACAGCAGAAAACUAAGUGAGUUAAAACUAGGCUUAGCCAAUGACACUCAGACUCCAGCAUCCAGGAAUGGGAGAUCAUGGUAGUUCUAGUGGCCACAAGCCACCAGGAAAUUAGAAGUAGGUUUCUAUCUGGGAGGCUGGAGGUCAGCAGUACUGUGGCUUCUACCAGCACUGAAUUAGUCCUAGGUUGACCCAGCCUGACGGCACUUCCUGCAACAUCUGGAUUUUCCUUGGAUGCCUCUGCCAAGUUGCAGCUUGUUCCAAGCCUGCUGUGUUCGUGAGACCUGAAAACAGACAGCUGGCUAAGAGCUGGCAGCAUCAAAGAAAAGAAUCGUGCUAAGAGCUGGGUUAUCCAUCUGCAAGCGGUUACAAGGGUAUCUACACAGACCAAGCACGGGCUGCCAGGUAUGGUCCAGCUUUACUUGCGUAAGCAACCCCACUGCUUUGUGGCAAUGUUGCAUGGGGCGGCCAGGUCCCAUUUCCAUCUCUGACAGCUUUUCCUGGGGUGGCUGCAUACGUGGAAAAGCCGAUCUUCAAGCAAGCUGCAACAGGAGCAGCUUACAGGGAGGGUUUCACCCUCCGUUACACAAGCGGAUGGUGCAGGGGGGUGAGUGACAGCACCUGGGAGGGCAGCUGAGCAAACAGUUUUCUCUUGGGAGAGAUGCAUCUCCGUCUCUCCCUACCUGCUCCCUGCACCCCCUUGGGCCAAUCUUGUCCGUGGGCACCCACUCCAACUGAAUAUUCCCCAUUUUUUGUGCAAACUUCAACCUAAGCAGGGUGUUUUUCUGCCGAUACACUUAGAAUGUUGGUGCCCUCUGCAAACCACAGGGCAUCCGCGUCGCAGCAAACCAACAGAUACUGUUUGCACAAAAGCACUCACACCUUUGGAUUACCAGGAUGAUUCUACAGGACGCAUGAAUGCAUAAGGGCAUGACUGAAUGCCACACUCCACGAUGGCACCCGUGGAGGUGCCACAAUGCCCGAUGAAGUCAGCUGGGGUGUCCGUGCUGGCAGUGGCAUGGUGGGCAACACUCACUGCAGGUGUUUCCUCAACUGCGCAGCUGCCCCAGCUGAGCUGAAGUUUUGAAGAAGAAAGCAAAGCCCUGGUGUAGCGUUUUGUGCAUGUGGAGGGUGUGCUGUGGAGCCAGAGUGUCUGGGACAGCUGCGGUCAAGAGGAAGCUGCCGCGGCUGCUCAUGGAGGAGGAAGUCAGUGUUCCAAGGCUGGAGGCAGGGGCUGAACAUCGUGGCCUGGGCUCAACCCUACAACCUGCAAGAGAUGCGGUGAUUUCAGACCAACGGUCUCAUGGUGCUGUGAGAAUACAUUGCCGUCACCUCUGGUAAUGGGAAACAUCUGAAUGACACCUCUGCAAGAUGAGAGAGGAGAUGGAAACAUGAUAGGGGUGUGAAGAACCCCAAGUUCACAGGACGUCAUGGGUGGUCACCCCAAAAUCAACCACCGGUAGAACUAAGGAUAUGAUUGUAAAGCUGGCAACUGUGAAAAGCAGCCAGGGGAUUUGUUCAUCAUCCCCUGCUCAGAGGACAUCCCUUUGACACCAUUCUCUACUCUGCUGCAGAUAAGAUGAAAUACUGUAGGUAUAUCACUCACACCUAUGGGACAGCGAUAGGAUACGCAUCAAGCACGGUUGCAAUUAAUCUCCCAUCCCCUGCAGGUAAACUACCAUUUCUCAGUGGCGGAAGAGAGAGAAUAAAAAUGGUAUCAAAGACAACCAACCUGUUUUCAUGGAGCAGAGUUCCUCUGUAAUGACUACUCCUAUAAAUAAGCACCAAGUAAGAGCCCCUGUCAUUCAUCAGCAAUAUUCUCUUCUGCGAUAUUUUUCAGUUAACUUUUUCCAUAGCCAGGAAUAACAGAGCAUCAGAACUGAGUGGACAAAGUAGCAGGUAAGAGGGCAUCAGGACAGCAGGUCCAGUUUUAAUGCUAUGACUUCGGGCAAAAAACUUAUCUGCCCCACUGUUUAUCCUUCCAUAAUUUGCCUGUCUUGUUGGUCCGGACUACAAAUGCUUUGGGACAGACGCCAUCUCUCAAAAUGUGUUUGCAACGAUUCCUCUCGGAGGGCACUGAAGAACAUAAGAAGUGCUUAGUACACCAUAAAAAUAUUUAGUAAAUAAUAGACAACUGUGAGUCACUGCCCUGUAACUCCAUGUCUGGUUCUUGGUAAGUAUUUCUAUACACAAUUAAGAGAUGUAAGAACAUACACCUCAUCUUCAAAAGGAGGAACCUAAGGAUCUUGGCUCAUGUGGAGUUAAAAACACAAUGGCUGAGGCAGACAGAUGUCCUGCUCAGUCUUUGCAGCAGAGGCACUGCUCUUGGAUGGGGAAAAUGAAGAGAACAGCUGAGAGCAGUCCCUGACUUCAGCUGUCCCCUUAUAUAGUGUUAAACACAAGUUCCCGAGCUCGCAUUAUCUCAAGCUUUUGAGCCACUUCUGAAAACACAGCUUCCUUUCUGGACACUUAAGGAUUUACUGGUCUCUUGGCAUUAAAAUAUGUUUUCCUUUUGUUGCGUUUGUUUUGCCUUAGUUCUUUACUGACCUCUGAGCAGAAUUUCAUCUUCUUUACAGUCUUGUUCCAUGAUUUAAAAAGGUUUGCUGAAGUACAGCGAUGAAUCACCUCUGGUCUGCAGUGCACUUGAAAAACACACUACUGUGGGAACAGCUUUGUCUGUGAGCACCUUAUAAGGAUGUGGCCCUUUGCCCUGUCUUUUCUUCACCUCUUUUUCAACUUUCUUCAUUCACUCAACUACCUGCAGCUUUCUCUUUAUUUUUCUACAGGAUCAUCUGGGUUUGCAAUACCAUAGAGGAGGUCCAACUGGUACACCUACGCCAGGUGUGGUGCUCCCGACCCAUCCAGAGGAGACCUUAUAUUGCUGAGGAUGUGUCUCCUGACCUCCAAUCAAAUCCGCCCUUGCACUCCUUGAGUGCUGACCAAGAUUUCUUGAUAGCCCAGUGAAAAAUCUUGGACAGUCCUGGUAACUGCACAUCACAACAAGCUGGAUGAGGUCUGAGUGUGUUGCAAAGACUGUGGAUAUACAUGAGCUGAUCAAUGAGCUUGAUAUGCCCAUGACCCAUUACUGUACCUGAUAAUGUUGGUGGGUCUCUAGCUCAUGGUCUCAGGCUUCUUUUCCAUUGGCUGUUUUAGCAGCACAAGUAAAACUGCUCUCAGGUGAGACCGCAGGAGAUGUUGUAAAGCAGUAAGUUUGGCUUGCCUUGGUGAACAUGUAGACUUGAUGAGAUAAGAGUUGCAGCUGGAUCAGCCAGAUGUUUGACCAGGUUCAAUGGAGCAGGAGAAGAAGAGAGGAACCAGCAUGUUGUUUCUCUCAUCAAACAGCUUCGCGUGUAUCCCUUCACACAAGGGAGUAAUUUUAAGCAUUUACCAGCAACAAUCUUGUUGGACCAAUUAAAUCAACCACCACCUUCAGUGCCCUCCCCUAGGGGCUGCGUUGAAAUGAGGACGUCCCUGCAACUGUGCCAGCAGGAGGAGGAAAGUCACUCCUGCUUCUCAGAAAUACACAUAUAAAAAUGAUACAGUGGAAAAUCUGGGAAUAUUCAGAGGGAGGCAGAGUCCAGGAGAAAGCAAAUCUUUCUGGAUCAGACCUAUUAUUCGCCCUCCAGAUAUUCAUGCCAUGAAAGCUUUAACCCAGGCCAGUCCAUAAGGGCAAAUUUAAAAGGCCAUUGCCGUGUUACUCAGCGUAAUCACAAUUUGAUUGACGGGGCUCUGCUUCUCUGCGAUCCCUCUGUGAAAAUCCCUCGCAGACAAAACUAGACGUCCCAAACCAUCAGAUACACUUUGUUCUGGCAAAAAUGGCAAGGUCUGAUUGUCCCGGGUCCCAGUGCAUUCCUCCUGCUGCUUCUCCUUAAAAGGCAUCAUCCACCUGGCCUGAUUACGAACAUGAACCAAGCAGCCUCACACUCACCCUCGCGUAGCAACUGCUGGGUUGUGACAGAUUUUAAGAGAAUUGGUGGUUAUCUGAUACAUAGUUGAACAGCCAUGUUCAAGGCUAUAAUUGAUCCUUGCUCUCUUUUCUUUGCCACAAGCCCACCUGCUGACUGCAGCUCUUUCCAUCAGGUUGUCCUCUAAAAAAAAAAUAAGGGAUUAAUCUUGUAGAGGAGUUCAAAUUACACAGGAGUUAUUUGACAGAGUAAUUUCUGUGCGUUGAGCUGAAGAACCAACCUGGGAGCAAAUCAAGCAGGGCUGUGCUCUUAAUGUUUAAAUCCUAGAGACUCGCUCAACUGGUGAUACGGUGGCACAAACGACACAGAGGGUAGAUUUGCAUUUGUUAUUUUCAUUUUCACAGGGUUCUGUCGCGCUGUGACGCGUGCUCCAGGCUGAUGCUGCUGUACCUUGAACCACUCCUUUUGGGUGAAUUUAACAGCUAACAACUUGCACGUAAUUUCAGCUGUAGACAAAAUGUGUGGCACUGUGCUUUUUAUUUGAAAAAUAGAGUCACAUCGAUGCAAAUAAAUAAGACUGGAAUCACUGAUGCUGCAGAUUAUUUGCAGCUUGGGAAGUGAAUAAGGUUUUAAAAAUAAUUUUUUAUGAACAGGUCAAUAUGGAGGUAAAGACCAGAAACAGAGUCAUUGGCCAUGUCCUGUAACUAUAUUUGGUAGUGUUUCUUACAUCAUCCUUUCUACA